RNAcentral lists this transfer RNA (72 nucleotides) under Babesia gibsoni. RNAcentral's name for it is "tRNA-Lys". It matches the Rfam family "tRNA". Rfam says of the family: Transfer RNA (tRNA) molecules are approximately 80 nucleotides in length. Their secondary structure includes four short double-helical elements and three loops (D, anti-codon, and T loops). Further hydrogen bonds mediate the characteristic L-shaped molecular structure. tRNAs have two regions of fundamental functional importance: the anti-codon, which is responsible for specific mRNA codon recognition, and the 3' end, to which the tRNAs corresponding amino acid is attached (by aminoacyl-tRNA synthetases). tRNAs cope with the degeneracy of the genetic code in two manners: having more than one tRNA (with a specific anti-codon) for a particular amino acid; and 'wobble' base-pairing, i.e. permitting non-standard base-pairing at the 3rd anti-codon position. The record is from RNAcentral. Lineage: Eukaryota; Apicomplexa; Aconoidasida; Piroplasmida; Babesiidae.
GCCCUCUUAGCUCAGUGGUAGAGCGUCAGACUUUUAAUCUGAUGGUCAGGGGUUCGAUCCCCCUAGGGGGCU